UGGCCAUACGUGGGUGCUGGUC
RNAcentral lists this non-coding RNA (22 nucleotides) under Arabidopsis thaliana (thale cress). The record is from RNAcentral. Lineage: Eukaryota; Viridiplantae; Streptophyta; Magnoliopsida; Brassicales; Brassicaceae.